Non-coding RNA from Schistosoma curassoni, 45 nucleotides. The record is from Rfam. Lineage: Eukaryota; Metazoa; Platyhelminthes; Trematoda; Strigeidida; Schistosomatidae.
AUUCAGCUGACAAGUCUCAAAUAGGACGAAACGCUCAUCGUGGAU